RNAcentral lists this ribosomal RNA (468 nucleotides) under uncultured bacterium. RNAcentral's name for it is "partial 16S ribosomal RNA". It matches the Rfam family "Bacterial small subunit ribosomal RNA", at positions 28 to 507 of the family's 1533-position model. The record is from RNAcentral.
GACGAACGCUGGCGGCGUGCUUAACACAUGCAAGUCGAACGGAAAGGCCCUGCUCUUGUGGGGUGCUCGAGUGGCGAACGGGGGAGUAACACGCGAGUAACCUGCCCUUGACUUUGGGAUAACUUCAGGAAAAUGGGGCUAAUACAGGGUAGGAGCUCCUGCUGCACGGGGGGGGAUGGAAAGAUUCGGCGGUUGGGGAUGGACUCGCGGCUUAUCGGCUUGUUGGGGGGGUAGUGGCUUACCAAGGCUUUGACGGGUAGCCGGCCUGAGAGGGUGACCGGCCACCUUGGGACUGAGAGACGGCCCAGACUGCUACGGGAGGCAGCAGUGGGGAAUCUUGCACAAUGGGCGGCAGCCUGAUGCAGAAACGCCGCGUGCGGGAUGACGGCCUUCGGGUUGUAAACCGCUUUCGCAUGUGCCGAAGCGUGAGUGACGGUAAUGGGUAAAGAAGCACCGGCUAACUACGUG